AAGGUCUAUAUAAAAUAGACUUUAGAUACAGUAUUAGGGGACCACUAAGGUCUAUAUAAAAGAGACUUCAGAUACAGUAUUAGGGACCAAUAAGGUCUAUAUAAAAGAGACUUCAGAUACAGCAUUAGGGAUCACUAAGGACUAUAUACAAGCAUCCAAAAGCAGCAUGUCAUGGGACCUUUAAA
Long non-coding RNA from Etheostoma cragini (Arkansas darter), 185 nucleotides. RefSeq lists it as uncharacterized. The transcript is spliced from 2 exons. NCBI's taxonomy places the organism in Eukaryota, Metazoa, Chordata, Actinopteri, Perciformes, Percidae. The record is from RefSeq and is a predicted model, not a curated record.